This 492-nucleotide ribosomal RNA is filed under the name uncultured bacterium. RNAcentral's name for it is "partial 16S ribosomal RNA". It matches the Rfam family "Bacterial small subunit ribosomal RNA", at positions 29 to 507 of the family's 1533-position model. The record is from RNAcentral.
AGUGAACGCUGGCGGUAGGCCUAACACAUGCAAGUCGAACGGCAGCACAGUAAGAGCUUGCUCUUACGGGUGGCGAGUGGCGGACGGGUGAGGAAUACAUCGGAAUCUACUUUUUCGUGGGGGAUAACGUAGGGAAACUUACGCUAAUACCGCAUACGACCUACGGGUGAAAGCAGGGGAUCUUCGGACCUUGCGCGAUUGAAUGAGCCGAUGUCGGAUUAGCUAGUUGGCGAGGUAAAGGCCCACCAAGGCGACGAUCCGUAGCUGCUCUGAGAGGAUGAUCAGCCACACCGGAACUGAGACACGGUCCAGACUCCGACGGGAGGCAGCAGUGGGGAAUAUUGGACAAUGGGCGAAAGCCUGAGCCAGCCAUACCGCGUGGGUGAAGAAGGCCUUCGGGUUGUAAAGCCCUUUUGUUGGGAAAGAAAAGCAGCAGGUUAAUACCCCGCUGUUCUGACGGUACCCAAAGAAUAAGCACCGGCUAACUACGUG